This 1414-nucleotide ribosomal RNA is filed under the name uncultured bacterium. RNAcentral's name for it is "16S ribosomal RNA". It matches the Rfam family "Bacterial small subunit ribosomal RNA". The record is from RNAcentral.
ACGCUGGCGGCGUGCUUAACACAUGCAAGUCGAACGAAGCAAUUAAGCGGAAGUUUUCGGAUGGAAGCUUAAUUGACUUAGUGGCGGACGGGUGAGUAACCCGUGGGUAACCUACCUUAUACUGGGGAAUAACAGUUGGAAACGACUGCUAAUACCGCAUAAUAAAGAAUAUCGCAUGAUUUUCUUUUGAAAUAUUUAUAGGUAUAAGAUGGACCCGCGUCUGAUUAGCUAGUUGGUGAGGUAACUGCUCACCAAGGCGACGAUCAGUAGCCGGCUUGAGAGAGUGACCGGCCACGUUGGGACUGAGACACGGCCCAAACUCCUACGGGAGGCAGCAGUGGGGAAUAUUGCACAAUGGGGGAAACCCUGAUGCAGCGACGCCGCGUGAGUGAAGAAGUAUUUCGGUAUGUAAAGCUCUAUCAGCAGGGAAGAUAAUGACGGUACCUGACUAAGAAGCCCCGGCUAACUACGUGCCAGCAGCCGCGGUAAUACGUAGGGGGCAAGCGUUAUCCGGAUUUACUGGGUGUAAAGGGAGCGUAGGUGGUUUGGUAAGUCAGAUGUGAAAGCCCGGGGCUCAACCCCGGGACUGCAUUUGAAACUAUCAAACUAGAGUGCAGGAGAGGUAAGUGGAAUUCCUAGUGUAGCGGUGAAAUGCGUAAAUAUUAAGAGGAACACCAGUGGCCAAGGCGGCUUAAUGGACUGUAACUGACACUGAAGCCUCGAAAGCGUGGGGAGCCAACAGGAAUUAAAUACCCUGGUAGUCCACGCCAUAAAACGAUGAAUACUAGGUGGUGGGGGACAAAAACCCCCUCCGGUGCCGUCCCAAACUCAUUUAAUAUUUCCCACUUGGGGGGUACGUUCCUAGAAAUGAAAACUCAAAGGAAUUGACGGGGACCCGCACAAGCGGUGGAGCAUGUGGUUUAUUUGAAGCAACGCGAAGAACCUUACCAGGUCUUGACAUCCCUCUGACUGGUCAGUAACGUGACCUUUCCUUCGGGACAGAGGAGACAGGUGGUGCAUGGUUGUCGUCAGCUCGUGUCGUGAGAUGUUGGGUUAAGUCCCGCAACGAGCGCAACCCCUAUCCUUAGUAGCCAGCAGUUUGGCUGGGCACUCUAGGGAGACUGCCAGGGAUAACCUGGAGGAAGGCGGGGAUGACGUCAAAUCAUCAUGCCCCUUAUGAUCUGGGCUACACACGUGCUACAAUGGUGACUACAAAGGGAAGCAACUCUGUGAAGACAAGCGAAUCCCAAAAAGGUCAUCCCAGUUCGGAUUGUAGUCUGCAACUCGACUACAUGAAGCUGGAAUCGCUAGUAAUCGCGAAUCAGAAUGUCGCGGUGAAUACGUUCCCGGGUCUUGUACACACCGCCCGUCACACCAUGGGAGUCGGAAAUGCCCGAAGUCAGUGACCCAACCC